GCAUAUCCCAGUUGUUUUACCCCAGCACAUUUCAGCCUCAAGACUGCCCUCUGGCCUCCUUCUCUUCCUUAGUCAGGCCUUCUCCUAUCCUCAGAUUUUUAUUUUGAAUAAGUACUUUUAAUUUUUGAAAUUUUAUUUAAUAAAUAUACAUACCCACAGCCAGGGAUCUGCAACCUCUCUUUCCAGGCAGCAGUAGGACCUGCACAUACUCGCUCCUGGUUGGUGUUUGCUCUGAAGGACAGACAUCAGCAGCCCUUCUUUUCCUCACCUUUGCAAUGAAUCUAGAUACACUGCAGAAUGUCUCCAGAAUAUGUGGUAAAUGUGCCGCCCAUAACAGCUUGAGAGAAGCAUACUCUGUACCGAUGUACAACAACUUCGUAGGGCUCUGGGAAUUGCAAACCUUGGUCUUUCUCAGAGCGCUGAUGUCCCUUACUCAAAUUUUGCAGGAUUCAUACAAAUGGAAAUUGAAUGUUAAUUAAAAUAAAUGAGGCCACCGCAAAUUGUAGCACACUGCUUUUAGCAGCCCUGAAAGAAAAUUCAUGUACUCAUAUUCAAAGACUGGUAUUUGAAAGGACUGUAUAUAGAUCUGCCGCUCAUAACCAACACAUGAAUGAGAUAGAGCAACAGUUUCAAAAAUCAGGACCUGGUAUGGAAAAGCAGAAUAUCCUUCAAAGACUUUGCAUUACCACUGGUUCUACAUAUUCAUCUUGGAACAUCUUCAGUUCUGUCUUGACCACUGUCAAAAUGUUUUAUUGUUGAAGUCAGACUACUGAGGUUUCAGAGACAUUGCUACAGUUUAGUAAAUGUGGGGGAAGGUAUCUCAGCUUUAACUAUUAGAAUAUAAAGGGGAAAACUCCUGUAAAUUAUCAAGAACAGAUUGUAUUUCUAUUCUGUAGGAACCGAGGGACUUCAAACAGAGUAAACAAUAUUUUAAACUAAGUAUUUCCUAGCGUAUGAGAGCUUUCAGAGUACUCUGAAACCCAAAGGAGAAGCUUUAAAUAUGGUUAGAAUACAUAAAAUUACUCUAGGAAGUAUCCUUUUUAAGACCAGUUUAUAUAAUUUCAUCCCCACGCAGACUAGAUCUCGUGUACUAGAUCACCAUAACCACAAAGCUUAAAAAUACGUCAAGGUGGAAAGAGGGCAUGACAGGACAAAAGUCCCAGGCAACAGAGCCACUUAGCAUUAAUGAAGGGUGUGGUUCUGGGAGGUGUUCUAAAGAAAUCGAAAUCACUCAGAUGCCUUUGGCCACCCUAUUAAGUAAAGCAUCUAUAUUUUUGCAGGAGAAACAUAAUACCGCUCUGUAGGUGAGAAAUCUGGAUGGACUGGUGUGUGCCUGUCACUGACAUCUGCUGCAAAACUCUCCCAGAGUUUGCCCACCUUGGUCAUUGAUGUGCUGGGAAUUAGCUAUAUGUCUCUUGACUUUUCAUGUUCUAAUUCCAAUGCACAGUGCUGAGUGUAAAACAUAAAAUUGUGGUUACUCUGCAACAGAUUUGUCCAAAACCCCCCAAAAUAUUAGUAGUUCCAUUAUCUGCCCCUUUAAUUUUAAUUUUGCUCUGGUAUCUAUAGAUUUUCCAGCUACCCCAGUUCCCAGAGAGACUGCUCUUCCACGAACAACUUUCACAAGGGGUAAAAAGAAGGCAUCUAAUUUUGUAGCAUUUUUUAAAAAAGUUUCCAGAAAAAAUAUUACUUUUUUCAUCUCUUCCAAAGAAAGGCUUAGGCAAGACUUGAUUUUCUUUUAAUUUUUUUUUUUUUUUUUUUUUUUUUUUUUAAAUCUGGGAAGCAAGCACUCUACCUCUGAAUCAGUUCAAGAUAAUUGGACACCUGCUGUGGGUGCCAUGAAAAACAUUUUCAGAAUGGUAUCAGGCAAGUUGGCGACAGCAAGCUACCUGGCAUGUUCCAUGGUCCAAGCAUGCCUGCAAACAGGUGCUACAGACCAGAGAGGAUGGAGCAGGUGUAGAGGCAUGGAGCAGGUUAGGGAGGCAGAGCAGUAAUGGAAGGAGGGGAGACAAAACAAGGUGCUGAGCUGAGGGUGUGAAAAACAGGAAGUUGAAGAGAGGAAGAUGAAGGAAAGGUAGGAAGUCUUGGGUAAGGACAAUAUGCAUCUUUAGUGGAGAAUGUAGAACCCCUAAAUCCUGGCAGGGGCCAGAGCUGUGGGAAGUCUCCCUUGGUGGAAAUACAUGCUCUGCACAUCACCCUGUGUUCCAGUCCUUCCAACCUCUUACAAAAUGGGGUCCAGCAGUAGCUCAAAAAUGAUAGAUGAGAUUCAGAUCUUGAUUUGAAUUUGAUCCCACCACCCCCAAACACUGAGCAAUAAACUAGAAGUACAAAAAAAGUGAAAUAUGAAAAAACGAAAAAAAGGGAGAAAUGCAAAGUUGACUAAAGAGGAAAGGGGAAUUACAACUGAUGUGCCCUGGAUUCUGUAUGAAUUUCUUUUUGCUCUCUUGGUUAAGUAUUUCCAGAUCAUGUACCUAGCUAUCCUUUUGCCAGCAUUUAGUAAUUGUCCACUAGUCAAUACCAAGUGCAUCUUUCUAACCUCCCACACUUUUGGGGUCAAAGAGAGCUUUCUCUAGCUCCUGCCAGCUUUAACAGGUGUUGCCCAAUUUUUUCUAGGAAAA
This is a long non-coding RNA of Pezoporus occidentalis (night parrot), 2615 nucleotides long. RefSeq lists it as uncharacterized. The record is from RefSeq and is a predicted model, not a curated record. The transcript is spliced from 3 exons. Lineage: Eukaryota; Metazoa; Chordata; Aves; Psittaciformes; Psittacidae.